UGUUAGUUACUCAUUUUUGCCAGCUGAGUAGACUGAAGCAACGAGAAAUGAAGUGUUUUGGUCAAGAGCACAACGUGUCGCCCAGUCCAGGAUUGAAACAACA
Long non-coding RNA from Octopus sinensis (East Asian common octopus), 103 nucleotides. RefSeq lists it as uncharacterized. Lineage: Eukaryota; Metazoa; Mollusca; Cephalopoda; Octopoda; Octopodidae. The record is from RefSeq and is a predicted model, not a curated record. The transcript is spliced from 3 exons.